AUCUCUUGGCGAAUAGUUUCAUUCAAUCUACCAACAAUAUGGCGUUUACUAUUGGAAUACCUUUGCUAUUAUUACUUGGAUUCAUUGAAAUGCUUUUAAUUCAGCAAUAUGUGGGUGGAAACUGCGUGGGCGAAUGGAUGCCGUCAUGCAGGAUAUAAUUUUGAAACAGCUGCUCACAUAUGGAAAUCUUCUUAAACAAAUUAGUUUGUGCUUAUGUAAAAUUUUCACUAAAAUAAACGUUGAAUUAGUGAAACAAUUCUCUUAAAAUAACUAGUCCAUUGGUCAAUAUAUGUAUGUGGUAUAAAGUCAACUGGAA
Molecule: non-coding RNA, 316 nt
Organism: Bactrocera oleae (olive fruit fly)
Lineage: Eukaryota; Metazoa; Arthropoda; Insecta; Diptera; Tephritidae
Source: RefSeq, a predicted model, not a curated record